GUUUUUCUCCUUGUUCGUUCCGUCAAAGACGAGACGCUGUCCUACGUUGAACGAAGAAAAAGAUGAAGCGGAGAAGAAGAGGGCUAAAGACAAUCAUCAUUAAUCGUUCUGCUCGAUCUACCUAAACGAUAUCAAGGUGAGUUCAGACAAGAAAGUAUCGAAGAAGCUAGAUCUCUACGCUUGGAAUCACAGAAGAUACGUGUUGAUCAGACUUUGUUUUAUUCUUUCGUGACGUAAUGAUUUGAAAUUAUCAAUUUUGUUUUUAGGUGGAAUUUUCACGUCUAUUUAUCGUUGAUUCAUCUGAUUAUAUCAUUCGUUCUAUAUCAUUUAUAUCAUUCAUCCAAUCCAUAAAAAAAAA
This is a long non-coding RNA of Vespa mandarinia (Asian giant hornet), 358 nucleotides long. NCBI's taxonomy places the organism in Eukaryota, Metazoa, Arthropoda, Insecta, Hymenoptera, Vespidae. The record is from RefSeq and is a predicted model, not a curated record.